RNAcentral lists this ribosomal RNA (430 nucleotides) under uncultured bacterium. Its description in RNAcentral is "partial 16S ribosomal RNA". It matches the Rfam family "Bacterial small subunit ribosomal RNA", at positions 29 to 504 of the family's 1533-position model. The record is from RNAcentral.
AACGAACGCUGGCGGCAUGCCUAACACAUGCAAGUCGAACGAGACCUUCGGGUCUAGUGGCGCACGGGUGCGUAACGCGUGGGAACCUGCCUUUAGGUUCGGAAUAACUCAGAGAAAUUUGAGCUAAUACCGGAUGAUGUCUUCGGACCAAAGAUUUAUCGCCUUUAGAUGGGCCCGCGUUGGAUUAGCUAGUUGGUGGGGUAAAGGCCUACCAAGGCGACGAUCCAUAGCUGGUCUGAGAGGAUGAUCAGCCACACUGGGACUGAGACACGGCCCAGACUCCUACGGGAGGCAGCAGUGGGGAAUAUUGGACAAUGGGCGAAAGCCUGAUCCAGCAAUGCCGCGUGAGUGAUGAAGGCCUUAGGGUUGUAAAGCUCUUUUACCCGAGAUGAUAAUGACAGUAUCGGGAGAAUAAGCUCCGGCUAACUCC